UGCCAGCCGCCGCGGUAAUACGGAGGGGGUUAGCGUUGUUCGGAAUUACUGGGCGUAAAGCGCACGUAGGCGGACAUUUAAGUCAGAGGUGAAAUCCCAGGGCUCAACCCUGGAACUGCCUUUGAUACUGGGUGUCUUGAGUUCGAGAGAGGUGAGUGGAAUUCUAGGUGUAAGGGUGAAAUCUGUAGAUAUCUAGAGGAAUACCAAUGGCGAAGGCACCUCACUGGUUGGUUACUGACGCUGAACUGCGAAAGUUGGGGGAGCAAACAGGAUUAGAUA
Molecule: ribosomal RNA, 279 nt
Filed under: uncultured bacterium
Lineage: Bacteria
Description: partial 16S ribosomal RNA
Rfam family: Bacterial small subunit ribosomal RNA
Source: RNAcentral